UGUACCGGUUUAGAGUCCCGGUGGACCGCGGAACACCACACCACGCCUCACCCGGGACAAUAUAUUUGGCGAUAGAGGGAAUUCCAGUGACCGGAGGCUUUAAUGGGAGAAAACCUCUCGUCCCAAAUCUCCCAACCCUAAGAAUUUGCUGCUCAAACGGGGGGUUUAGAUCUUCUGGCGGUUCCUUUUCUUCAUUCUCUUGACUUGAAAGAUCUCUGAGAUCAAUGGAAGAGUUCACCAUAUACAUGUCAAGAUUGACAGAUUGAAAUUUACAAAGAGCUAAUGAACAAUUAAGAGUUAGAAAAUUGAAUUAUCAUGUUGUAUUGAGUGAUAAAACAUGCGAAGCACCGUCAAAUCUUGAUGAGAAGACAAUCUGAUGGAUGAGACAGAUCAUGCACAAAACAAUAUCACAGGAAUGAUCAAGGCUGAGUAAGCUGAGCUGCAAUAGAUGUGGAGGUAGAGAAGCUCGAUGCUUGGAAAAGGUCUUACAGUUGUUUGUACUGGCUAGUCAUGUCAUCUAGCAGUACCUUUUUUAAUGAUUUGGGAAUUAAUCCUGAGUCUAGUGAUUCUCAGGAUAAUGAAGACAUGAUGGAUAUCAAUGAGCAUGUGAAUGACUAUGCUCAUCAGUUACCAAAGCCAAGUGCAUCUGUUGCUAGCAGUGUCUAUGAACUCCUAGAAUGUCCUGUUUGCUUGAAUGCUAUGUAUCCACCCAUCCAUCAGUGUUCGAAUGGUCAUACAUUGUGUUCUGGAUGCAAACCUAGAGUACAGAAUAAGUGUCCUACUUGCAGGCAUGAAUUGGGCAAUAUUAGAUGUCUUGCUCUGGAGAAAGUGGCAGCUUCUCUUGAGCUUCCAUGCAAAUAUCAGAGCUUUGGUUGUAAUGGGAUUUAUCCUUAUUAUUGCAAGCCGAAACAUGAAUCAGUAUGCGUAUAUAGACCCUAUAAUUGUCCCUAUGCGGGGUCUGAUUGCACCAUCGUAGGUGAUAUUCCUCAUUUGGUGAGCCAUUUGAAAGAUGAUCACAAGGUUGACAUGCACAAUGGGAGCACAUUCAACCACCGAUAUGUCAAAUCAAAUCCACAUGAGGUUGAGAAUGCAACAUGGAUGCUAACGGUCUUCAGUUGCUUUGGACAAUACUUCUGCCUUCAUUUUGAGGCCUUCCAGAUGGCCAUGGCACCUGUUUACAUAGCAUUCUUGCGCUUCAUGGGGGAUGAGUCUGAGGCUAAAAAUUACAGCUACAGCCUUGAGGUUGGUGGUAAUGGACGCAAGAUAAUCUGGCAAGGGGUGCCUCGAAGCAUAAGAGACAGCCACAAGAAGGUGCGUGAUAGCUAUGAUGGGCUUGUCAUCCACCGAAACAUGGCCCUAUUCUUCUCGGGUGGGGAUAGGAAGGAAUUAAAGCUGAAGGUGACUGGGAAAAUUUGGAAGGAACAGUGAGAAUCUGUGGGUCCAGAUGAUCCAUGUAAUGUGUUUUCUGAUCAUGUAUUCUUGCGAGCUUGCAGGCAAGCUCAAAUGGCUUGCAAGAAUGCAUGAGUACAUUAGUGGAAAACCAAUCUGUUACACCAUAAAACAUAUACAUGUUAUGUCAGAUAUAGGGAACCUGCUGCUGAUUCUAUUUUAUCGAGUCCAUCUGAAGGUGUUGGUGUUUGUUAUGGAAUUGUAGCUGAUACCCUAACUCAGCCUUCUGAGGUGGUGCAAUUAUAUAGAUCAGAGAACAACAUAGGGAUGAGGCUCUAUGAACCAAAUCAUUCUGCUCUUAAGUCCCUGAGGGGAUCCAACAUCCAAAUACUGCUGGAUGUUCCAUAUGGCAUGAGCUCAACUAUCUAGCCACCAAAUCCUCAAUUUUCUAAUGAUUGGAUUUGAAAGAAUGUGAUAUCAUAGUUUCCCAGUGUCAUAAUAAGGUACAUUGUUAUAUAGGCAAUGGGGUGACCCCUGGAACCUUGGCACACUAUGCCCAAGCUUCCAUGCAAAACAUUUAUCAGGUACCAUCAUUGGCAGGAUUGCAAACAAAAAAAAAUCAAGGUGUCGGCAUCAAUUUCUGUGGUGAUUCCCAGUGAAUCAUAUCCUCUCUGACAUUCACUUCUGAGGCAAGAUUGGUUUUGGAACCAAUGGCGAUGAUUUUAAUCAACACUGGAGCACCACUGUUGGCUGAUGUAACCUUAUUUUAGUUACAUUGAGAACCCAAGAGAAAUCUCUCUUUUCUAUGCCUCAUUCACAUCCCCUAAGACUGUUGUAGCGGAUGGGCAAUUCAACCAGAAUCCUUCUGAUAAAAAGACAGGUGCAAUAUAUUCAGUUUUGAAAAAAUUGGGGAGGUUUUACUGUGGAAAUCUCUUUUUUGGCAUGUUUGAUGUAUGACCGGAGUUGGAAUGGAUUGGAAUGGGAAUUGAAAUAGCCAUAUCUUUCAAUGUGUUUGGUUCGGGAUCGGAAUCGGAAUGAGAUUUGAAUACUAAGGAGAAAGUAGGAAUUGAAUUUUAAGAGAUUAAGACAUUUUCAUUAUCUUUUUGGAAUCAGAAUUAGAAUGCAACUCUUCUAAUCCAAUGAUUAGAAUGGGAGUUGCUCAACCAAACAUGUCCUUAUAGUCCUGAUGUGUGUCAUAAGGUACUUC
Molecule: RNA transcript, 2596 nt
Organism: Elaeis guineensis (African oil palm)
Lineage: Eukaryota; Viridiplantae; Streptophyta; Magnoliopsida; Arecales; Arecaceae
Gene name: E3 ubiquitin-protein ligase DIS1
Source: RefSeq, a predicted model, not a curated record